UCGACCGUCGGCGUUUCGGCUCCCUCUCGACGUAGGAGCAUCAGAUUUCGACGAGACUUGGUUCGUUGGAUUUGGGACUUCGAGAGGAAUCCACGAAGCCCUUACUUGCUGGUUUUGGUGGAGGUUUUCUUGAGUUUGGCAGGAGCGUGAUUUCUGGCCUUUGGAGGUUUGCGGAUUGAUCUAGCAGGGUGUUCCUUUGCUUCGGGAUGUCCUCGCUGCUGGGGAUUAGCGACUAAGGUGGGUUAAUCAUCGGCUUAUACUCCUAAGUGCGCAAUAGUCAACAUGUGUAAUUUCAGAUUUUGUAUAGUUUACUUUAGCUCGAAUUCAUGGACUAAUUUGUGAAUUACAAUCUGAAUUUGGAGCAUGUGUUAAUAAA
This is a long non-coding RNA of Ananas comosus (pineapple), 376 nucleotides long. RefSeq lists it as uncharacterized. Lineage: Eukaryota; Viridiplantae; Streptophyta; Magnoliopsida; Poales; Bromeliaceae. The record is from RefSeq and is a predicted model, not a curated record. The transcript has 2 exons.